GAUGAACGCUGGCGGCGUGCCUAAUACAUGCAAGUCGAGCGAACAGACGAUGAGCUUGUUCCUCUGACGUUUGCGGCGGACGGGUGAGUAACACGUGGAUAACCUACUUAUAAGACUGGGAUAACUUCGGGACACCGGAGCUAAUACCGGAUAAUCUAUUGAACCGCAUGGUUCAAUAGUGAAAGACGGUUUUGCUGUCACUUAUAGAUGGAUCUGCGCCGCAUUAGCUAGUUGGUAAGGUCACGGCUUAUCAAGGCAACGAGGCGUAGCCGACGUGAGAGGGUGAUCGGCGACACUGGAGCUGGGACGCGGUCCAGAGUCCUACGGGAGGGAGCAGUAGGGAAUGGGCGGCAAUGGGCGAAAGCCUGGCAGAGCGGCGCGGCGUGUGUGAUGGAGGUGCUCGGAGCGUGAAGCUCUGUUAUGGGGGGAGAACAGAUGUGUAAGUAGCUGUGGACGUCUUGACGGUACCUGAUCAGGAAGCCACGGCUAACUACGUG
This 497-nucleotide ribosomal RNA is filed under the name uncultured bacterium. RNAcentral describes it as "partial 16S ribosomal RNA". It matches the Rfam family "Bacterial small subunit ribosomal RNA", at positions 28 to 507 of the family's 1533-position model. The record is from RNAcentral.